AGGUCGUGCCUGGUGCUUAUUUG
Molecule: microRNA, 23 nt
Filed under: Drosophila mojavensis
Lineage: Eukaryota; Metazoa; Arthropoda; Insecta; Diptera; Drosophilidae
Also listed under: 1 other name
Description: Dmo-Mir-92-P4_5p* (star (passenger))
Source: RNAcentral